Molecule: long non-coding RNA, 982 nt
Organism: Solanum lycopersicum (tomato)
Lineage: Eukaryota; Viridiplantae; Streptophyta; Magnoliopsida; Solanales; Solanaceae
Source: RefSeq, a predicted model, not a curated record
CAAAGAGAUAAAAAAUGUAAAAAGAAAUAGAUAAGAUUCCUUUGUACAGUAAAUAACUUUUGCUUUUUUGAAAGGGCAAUGUGUAUAGCCGGCCAUUUGUAAAGUUUUGUUCAAAAGUCAUAAGGUGUACAGUAGACGCACUUAUGUGCAGACUUAGGAUUUAGUAUAUAUAGAUUGCCAAAUUGUAAAUGAAAGGCAGGCAAUGCCAAACUAAAGUUCAAGUUAAUAAACCCUCUCUCAAAAUACAAAGCUCUCUCAAAUAUACAAACUAAGAAAAACAUAUGAAAAAAUUGGAAAUACAAUCAGGUAUCUCAGCUAGCAUGACAAAUCAAGAGUUAAAGUAUGUAAAAGCUAUUUACAAAGGACCAAAAAGACUAACAAGAUUUUGCUAAAGCCUGAAGAAUAAUCUUGAGUAAAAGAAAAAGGGAACUUUUGGAAGAAAUUGAGUCAAACCACAAAAGGUGAUUAAGAUGAUUGAGGAAGCAUAACGAACCUAGCUACCUAUGGACAGGUGAAGCUACGAUCUCUAGAAAGGCUUUAGUAGUUUGGGAGAAGAUAUGCUUUCGAAAAGGUGUUGGAGCUCUGGAUUUCAUUAAUUCUCGUUUACUACGUAAAAGACCUAGAUAUAUGAUCACAAUGGAGGUGGCCAAGCUUCGUGGAUAGUAACAGAGAUAUUCAAUAUGAAAAAUAUUGGACAAUGCUUAUAAAUCGUCAUCAAUUGAUAAGAAGUGACAUGUUUAUGAUAAAAAAAUAUACACAAUGUUAUGAAGGCAACUUAUACAUGUCCCCUGGAGAGGUAUGGUACGUCACAAUUAAUGUGGCAUGCCCCACACAAACUUUCAUCCUAUGGAUAGCACUAUUAGGAAGAACGAGGACCAAAGAAUUGCUUUUAAAAUGGAACAUGACAGUGAAUAUCAAAUGUGUAUUUGUUAAUCAUAGUGAAACAUUGUAAUUCGUUAUACCACAUGUUCUUUGACUGUAA